Mugil cephalus (flathead mullet) is the source of this 1191-nucleotide long non-coding RNA. RefSeq lists it as uncharacterized. The transcript is spliced from 3 exons. The record is from RefSeq and is a predicted model, not a curated record. NCBI's taxonomy places the organism in Eukaryota, Metazoa, Chordata, Actinopteri, Mugiliformes, Mugilidae.
UAAAAAGGUGAGGACCAACCAAAGUUGCGCAUGUCACUUUACUUCUCCUAAAGGUUGACACCGUGGCGCCAGCUGUUAACGCGCUCGGGCGCACGUCUCGGCGGAUCACCGUGACUCUGCGAUCGGUUUUUGUGACUUUUUCCCUUUUGUCCGUAUUUGCUUCACGUUGAGCCUCACGUACAAUACCUGAAGAUGAAGUUUUGUUCGUUCGGCUCGCGUUACGCAGGUACGGGUUGGCAACUGGAAAAGGCACAGAACAAGAGUUGACAAAGCCUAAAAUUCAGACAAAUGACAUGUGUGGGGUUUGUUCUCGCAAGAUCACACUAGUGCGAUGAAUCGCGCCAAAUGCGUGAGGUCGGGCGCUGCUGCCAAACUGCAGCACUAGUGAGUCAAAAGGUCAUCUGAAGUGUACAGAAGUGUAACAUUUAUUUCACAGAAAAUGCAUCUGAGUUGAACUCAGGACCAAAAGACAUAAAGAUAACACCAGUCUCAUUAUCUGAAGCACCAGAUGUGAAGAGCCCCAGUCUCACGUCGGUCCAUAUGUUCACGCACACUCUGCAGCCUUUGAACAGACGCACACACCUGUGUGUUGAGGCCAGUAGUUCCACCGCUGCUCUGAAUCACCGCUGGCAAACCUGUAACUGACACUGAGAAGGAGCCCAACUGAUGGGGACUUUCACUGUUUAUUUUUUUAAUUUUUUUUUUUUUAAAGUCAGUGGUUGUGCCUUGCCUUUUGUGUGCUUGCUUGAAUUGCCCUGGGAUGUUAUCACGCCCACUGUGCAGGGUUGACAUUUACAAUGGCAGGAAGGACUAUCUCUAUCUUUCCCCUUAGUGCUUUGUGUGAUAAUCAUUUUCCCGUUGGCACAUUCAUGAUGACAGCGUGUAUUUUCCACUGGGGGCCUGUUCAUCACUGCCCGUCUCCUACGUCACGAUGUGAGUCCGCAGGCAAGCACUGGAGAUGGGCUUAAUGGGAGGCUAUGUUAAUCAUUAACUAAGCAUUAACCACACACACACACACACACACACACUAGACAUCUGAUACAAGCCAUCUGUCAUCUGGAUGCGAUGAUGCAGUAUUCAGUCCCCCUGCCACUUUAUUGUUUUAUUUUACUCCAAAGGGCCGAACAUUUGAAGUUAAACAGAGAUAAUGUGUUUCACUGCUUUGAUAAUAAACUGAUGAUCCCAAUCCCA